Diorhabda sublineata is the source of this 3139-nucleotide long non-coding RNA. RefSeq lists it as uncharacterized. NCBI's taxonomy places the organism in Eukaryota, Metazoa, Arthropoda, Insecta, Coleoptera, Chrysomelidae. The record is from RefSeq and is a predicted model, not a curated record. The transcript has 2 exons.
UUAAAUUUUCAAAGACUUUGAAAAAAAUUUUUCAACCUCUAUGUUUUGUAUUAUACUAUGAUCUUAUAAAAAAGAAGAAAGAUUGACAUAUCAAAACAAUGUAGUUUGAGCACAAGUUGUUCAAACAAACAAAUGAUAUCUUCUAAGAAAAUAGGAAGAAAAAUUAAUAUAACCAACAAUGUACUUUGAAUACAGGAUAUAACGAACAAGUGAUAUCGUUUUAUUAUCAUUUUUAACAUCCAAAAAAAUAUUCCAAGCAGUCUUAUAAUAUUCAAAAAUAUAUUUUUAUUGAAAAAAAAAAUGUAUAACAAGUGUUCCUUAUAGUAAGAAAUAUAUAAAACAUCAUUCAGGAUUGAAGAAUAUAAUGCAGGUUACUAACCUAACUUGAUUGGUAAUUGUAUUAAGGACAAGACCAGUUUUGAUAUGAAUCAUUUAAAUAAUACCAUAGACAAAUUAAUAAUCCGGAGGAAUCUCACAAUCUAACUAAAUGUCAAAAUAAACGCCGAGGGGUAAGCAAAUGCUUUUUUCGUAAGUUUUUGUGUGGUUUGUGAAGUUAUUUGUUCGAUUUCCCAGUUUUAUUGUAAAAUUGCUUCUUAAAUAGUUGAUAUUAAAAACAUUUCGAAAUUUAUCUAUACAGUGUUUUGCUUAGUAUAGGCAAGCGAUGAAUAGGAUUUAUUGGGAAAGGCCAAUUUUGAUAGGAAUCGUUAGAUUAAUACCAUAGACAAAUUAAAAAUACGGAGGAAUCUCUACAAUCUGUCAAAAUAAUCGCUGUGGGGUAAACAAAUGCUUUUGCCUUAAGUUUUUGUGUGGUUUGUGAAGUAAUAUGUUCGAUUUUAGGCCUUAUUAAUCUCAGUUUUACUGCGAAAUUGCUUCUUAAAUAGUUGAUUUUGAAAAGAUUUCGAAAUUUCCUUCCGGUAACGUGGCUUUCAUAGUUGUUUGUAGCCAGGGAGCCGAAAAUGAGGUAUUAGAUGGCAGUGUCCGAUUAGAAGUUCGAUCACUAGUCUGAUUUCACGCCUAUUUAGCUGGAGCAGUUGUUUAGUGAAAGACGAACGGAGUCCAUCUAUCUGGACCUUCGUUUAUCUCAUUCCAGGUGUCUCUAGACCGUUCAGAGACGCGAUGGCAACGCUUUUGGCCACACCAAGGAUGUUUUCUGGACCCGAUCUGCGUGGGGUAGAUUUUGCUGUCAAAAUUUCAUUAAAAUCGAUGCACGGAGUUGUUAGCUUUAAAUGUAAAAGAUAUCGGGGUACCUACCUCAUUCCUCUGGUUUCAUUAGUGCUUAUAUCGGAGAUAUAAGAUAAUAGACUAACGAAAAACGCAGCAGAACCCCCGGUUAACAUAGAUGGUAUUGAAGAUAACAUAAAAUACCAAGGACUUACAUUUGGAAAAUAACUUAGUACAGUCAUUAUCAUUAAAGCAAAAACCAUACCUAAAAGGUGAAUGAACCUGUAGAAUUUAUGAUAUUUGAAGUCUCUCAUGGCUACUAAAACUUUACGAGUGCAACUAUCCAACCACCACCCAGAUGAUACACUAUGCACUUCUAUUGCGCCACUCUAUAUUACUCAAAAUUCGUAUUAUAUCGUAUAAAAUUUGGUUAACUUUUAUGUUGAAUUAUUUUUGGAUAAAUAAAAACCCAUGAUUCCAUUCGAUUUUUAACGUUUACAAUUUCCUGUACGUCUGGCAAUUGAUAUAACUAUAAAUAAAUCGCAAGGCCGGUCGUUGGAAAUUUAAGUUUUUUAUUUAUCGAUUGAGGCAUUACGAAAAUUAGUUUGAAAUGAAAUAAUAUCCAAUGCUAAAUAACAAUAAUUAUAUAAAACUUUGAUAAUUAGAUUAUUCUGUUUAGUAUGACGAUGGUAACCUUGAGAUUAAACAUCGAUGUUUUAAUUUUCAUGCAAAAAAAUAACAAACAAACAGUAACGGCUACAAGGAUCAUAUUUUUUAUAUAUAUACUGUUAAUGAUAAGAUAAAAAAAUUGUUAGCAAUGUCUAAUAUUACUCAACAUUAAAGUUAAAAUUUUAACGGGUUUUAGUUGGGGUGAUUCGAUUGGAAUAAACCCUAAUACUAGUUUUAUACACGUAAUUACAGGGUGUUUCAUUUAAAAUGGGAAAAUUUCACUUAGAUUUCGGUAGAACUGUUAGAAAUUUCUAAAUAUUAUAGAUAUUAUAGAUGCUUCUCUUUUAUUUUCAUUUCCAAAAUAUUUAAUACUCGUUGCCCAUAACUAUUUCCUUUCUUUUAAUUACGCGAUGUUUUAUAUAUUAUUAUAAAGGAUGUUCCAAAAUUGACGAAUUAUUUGUAUUAAAAAUAUAUUUCAAUAAUCAAAAUUCAUAUCCAAACUGACUUUAAAUUGCUAUUCAUUUUUUGACGAUAUAUAUGGCUACAUUGCGCUGUCAUGAAACACCUAAAUAGAAAAUUUUAGUGUCACUCAUUUGUAAAGAAAUGUAUAAUCCCAAAGAAAUGUUUGUAUGACUGGAUAUCUGUCAAAUGUCAGUUUUACGUUGCUACACUGUUUUUCUGUUUUAAAUAACUUUGAAUUUAUUAGAUUUAGUUUUAUUUAUCAGUUGUUUGUGUAAAUAAGAAAAUAAAUACGUAACCUCAUUUUAUUUAAAUCGGCAUAUACGUUAACAACUUUAUUUUUAAACAAGCUAGUGUUCCCAACUUAUUUUAUGACGUAAUAUAUAAAUAUGGAUGCAGCCACAGAAAGAAAUCAAUACAUCAGGUAAAAAAAAGAAGAGUUACUUACACUUGUGUAAGUCAUCGGCAAAAUAAUAAUAUAAUAAUUUGAUAUAAUAGGCGUGAAAUUCGCUUGAAAUUAAUACGUUUUCUAUACGAGGAAAUAAGUUUGGAUGCUAUUAAAAAGUAAUUGUGAAAAAAAUAAAUGGCAACUAGGCAUAUCAUUAAUCUAAAUUUCGUAGUUGUACAUUUAAUCUUCAAAUAUUCACCCCACAACUCGAAAAGUACUUCAUGAUGAUAUAAAAUCGAAUUAACACGAAAAUACCUGUUUGCCCACAACCGCCAUAUUGAAACGAAAUGUUAACGUCUGUAGAAAAGACUUUGAAUGUUUGUUUAGCUUUUGAAGGAGAUGAAUAAAAUCGAUUUGUUGUAAUGAAAAUUGUGUUUUUGAUGUAUUAAAUUAUUUUCAAAA